CCAGCCGGCCGGAUGGCCGCCGCUUUCGCAGUGGAGGAAAGUCCGGGCUCCACGGAGACACGGUGCCGGAUAACGUCCGGCGGGGGCAACCCCAGGGAAAGCGCCACAGAAAACAAACCGCCGCAAGGCAAGGGUGAAACGGUGCGGUAAGAGCGCACCGCGCGCAUGGCAACAUGAGCGGCAUGGCAAGCCCCACCGGGAGCAAAACCGAAUAGGGGCGACGCAAGGCGUUUCUCGGAUGAGGAAUCCUUGGAUCCGUCUCCGGAUCGUUGCCCGGGUUGGUUGCUCGAGGCGGCCGGCAACGGCCGUCCCAGAGGAAUGGCCAUCGCGCGCGCGAAACCGCGCGCCAUACAAAACCCGGCUUACAGGCCGGCUGGCACU
Molecule: RNase P RNA, 381 nt
Filed under: Pseudomonadota bacterium
Lineage: Bacteria; Pseudomonadati; Pseudomonadota
Description: RNase P RNA component class A
Rfam family: Bacterial RNase P class A
About the family: Ribonuclease P (RNase P) is a ubiquitous endoribonuclease, found in archaea, bacteria and eukarya as well as chloroplasts and mitochondria.
Source: RNAcentral